CUUGGUGCCAUGAGAAACACCGCAAACCUCUUCCGGUAAUUGCGGGGUUACCAAUGCAAGCUUUUGAUGUGUUUCAACUGAGAUAUCCAAAAACUGGAGUCGUCCCAGUCAGUGGAGAAAGAGAAAAAAAGCAGUGAAGAUACCCGAGAACUGCAAC
Carcharodon carcharias (great white shark) is the source of this 157-nucleotide long non-coding RNA. RefSeq lists it as uncharacterized. The record is from RefSeq and is a predicted model, not a curated record. The transcript has 3 exons. Lineage: Eukaryota; Metazoa; Chordata; Chondrichthyes; Lamniformes; Lamnidae.